UAGGGAAUCUUCCGCAAUGGACGAAAGUCUGACGGAGCAACGCCGCGUGAGUGAAGAAGGAUUUCGGUUCGUAAAACUCUGUUGUUAGGGAAGAAAAAAUGUAUAGUAACUAUAUACAAAAGAGACGGUACCUAACCAGAAAGCCACGGCUAACUACGUGCCAGCAGCCGCGGUAAUACGUAGGUGGCAAGCGUUGUCCGGAAUUAUUGGGCGUAAAGCGCGCGCAGGUGGUUUAGAAAGUCUGAUGUGAAAGCCCACGGCUCAACCGUGGAGGGUCAUUGGAAACUCAUAAACUUGAGUGCAGGAGAGAAAAGUGGAAUUCCUAGUGUAGCGGUGAAAUGCGUAGAGAUUAGGAGGAACACCGGUGGCGAAAGCGGCUUUUUGGCCUGCAACUGACACUGAGGCGCGAAAGCGUGGGGAGCAAACAGG
This 429-nucleotide ribosomal RNA is filed under the name Verrucomicrobiota bacterium. RNAcentral describes it as "Verrucomicrobia bacterium partial 16S ribosomal RNA". It matches the Rfam family "Bacterial small subunit ribosomal RNA", at positions 355 to 776 of the family's 1533-position model. Lineage: Bacteria; Pseudomonadati; Verrucomicrobiota. The record is from RNAcentral.